UGGGGUAGAGCUCAGUGGUAGAGCACUGGCCUAGCAUGCCUGAGGCCCUGACUUCCAGUCCCAGUGCUAUAA
This 72-nucleotide transfer RNA is filed under the name Heterocephalus glaber (naked mole-rat). It matches the Rfam family "tRNA". Rfam says of the family: Transfer RNA (tRNA) molecules are approximately 80 nucleotides in length. Their secondary structure includes four short double-helical elements and three loops (D, anti-codon, and T loops). The record is from Rfam by way of RNAcentral. Lineage: Eukaryota; Metazoa; Chordata; Mammalia; Rodentia; Bathyergidae.